RNAcentral lists this ribosomal RNA (200 nucleotides) under uncultured organism. Its description in RNAcentral is "partial small subunit ribosomal RNA". It matches the Rfam family "Bacterial small subunit ribosomal RNA", at positions 1184 to 1382 of the family's 1533-position model. The record is from RNAcentral.
GUCAAAUCAUCAUGCCCCUUAUGACCUGGGCUACACACGUGCUACAAUGGGUGGUACAAAGGGCGGCAAACCCGCGAGGGGGAGCGAAUCCCAAAAAGCCACUCUCAGUUCGGAUUGCAGGCUGCAACUCGCCUGCAUGAAGCCGGAAUCGCUAGUAAUCGCGGAUCAGCAUUGCUGCGGUGAAUACGUUCCCGGGUCUU